UUGCUCCAAUUCUGGAAAGGUUAGUGACAAGAAUACCCGAAGGAAUAUUUUUACAAUUAUCCUGAUAUGCUCAACAACAAGGUAAUGUUGUAAAUAAUUAAAAGUUUAUGUUAUGGUCUGAUCAGUGCUUAUUUUAGGACGCUAAGCUUGUCCUUGGGAAACCAUCAAUUUAUGUCAGUGAAGUGGUUUCCCCUCCAAUACUGACCUAUAUCA
RNAcentral lists this long non-coding RNA (213 nucleotides) under Sorghum bicolor (sorghum). Its description in RNAcentral is "long non-coding RNA (SBIC_LNC012869)". Lineage: Eukaryota; Viridiplantae; Streptophyta; Magnoliopsida; Poales; Poaceae. The record is from RNAcentral.